UGGCUCAGAGCGAACGCUGGCGGCGUGCUUAACACAUGCAAGUCGAACGCGCAGUUUUCUGUAGCAAUACAGGAAAUGGGCGCGUGGCGAACGGGUGCGUAACACGUGGGCAACCUUCCCUUCGGUGGGGGAUACCCUCGCGAAAGCGAGACUAAUACCGCAUAACAUUCCCCUGGUUACGACUGGGGGAUUCAAAGCAGCAAUGCGCCGGAAGAGGGGCCCGCGGCCGAUUAGCUAGUUGGUGAGGUAACGGCUCACCAAGGCUUUGAUCGGUAGCCGGUCUGAGAGGAUGGCCGGCCACACUGGAACUGAGACACGGUCCAGACUCCUACGGGAGGCAGCAGUGGGGAAUAUUGCGCAAUGGGCGAAAGCCUGACGCAGCGACGCCGCGUGGGGGAUGAAGCUUCUCGGAGUGUAAACCCCUUUCGACCCGGACGAAUGACCCGCAAGGGUUUGACGGUACGGGUAUAAGAAGCCCCGGCUAACUACGUG
This 492-nucleotide ribosomal RNA is filed under the name uncultured Acidobacteriota bacterium. Its description in RNAcentral is "bacterial SSU rRNA". It matches the Rfam family "Bacterial small subunit ribosomal RNA", at positions 20 to 507 of the family's 1533-position model. The record is from RNAcentral. Lineage: Bacteria; Pseudomonadati; Acidobacteriota.